AUGUUAAAUAUUUUUUCGUUGAUACACUUUUCCAAGCCCAAAAUCCUGAGCCCAGAUUCUCCGCUAUCCAUUGUUCCUGUGAUCCUACCGCCUCUUGCGUACAAUACAAGUCUCCAGACUUACUACAUGACAUGUAUUUACCUAAACAGCUUUUCAAUAGUAUAGUAUUGUUCAGUAUGGAUAACAAAAACACCUGGCGCGUCAAUUCUGGCUCUAGCGAAACUUUGUCGAGGGGAAGAAGAACGCAACUUUCUUUAACUUCUUCAAUUCCAAGAGAUACACCAGCAUCAUCGUCUAUUUUACUACAUAAAGUUGUAAGUAAAUUAGAAAAAAAGGUAUAAGAAUAUUGAAGUUAAGCUUACUAUAUAACCGCUGGACCCUCAAGCUCAUUUAGCUCGUUUGCGUCCGUCCAAAAAGGAUCGUUUUCAGCUGAUUCUAGAGAAGAUUGAAGUGAUUUUGUGUUCUUUUUUUUCUUCUUUUGACUGAUUUCUUGUUAGUGAUGAACAAUAUAAUAUGAAUUACCACAUUCGAGCAGUUAUUUCAUUUUAUCUUACAUCUUUUUGUCUCCCUUGAAAGUUAAUCGCAUAGACAUUUUACCAUCAGUAAAUUACCAAGAAUUUAAACGAUUAAAAAUCCUUAAAAAUGAUAAUUGUUAAUAAUGGAUAAUGACUAAAUAUUUAUGCGUGGUUUUCGAGGAAAAAGCAAGUAGUGGGAGUAGUGUUAAGGAUUUGAACAGACCAGAUGCUUCUUCGUGCUGAAAUCCAAUAUGUUCUGAGGAAUAGGCAAGGUACUCUUAGCAAAACAAAAGAGGUUCAAACGUUUUUAAUAAGCAAGGAAAUGCUUUAUAUGAAUAGAAAUGUUCUGUUGCUCACAAUGUGACUUUUGUGACCCAUGCUAAUGUUGGUUUGUAAAAUGGAUGAUUUGCAUAACAUUCUAAUGGCUUGAGAAAGAAAAAAAAUGUGCUUAAUUGAAUGAUAAUUUUGAAUAUAGAUGAGAGAAGAAGUAUGCACCGAAGACUAGCAUUGUUCAAUACCAAAAACAUUCGUUGAAGGACGAGUCAUAUUCCAAAAAAGGAAGUCCAUUGAUGACAAUAAGAAUUUUUUUUUGCUUAUUCAGUUGAAAGCUUACAAAAGAUGAGCACUGUUUCAAUUUACUUAUUACUAUGUGAAUAAGUGUAGCCAUAAUACCUGCAUAUUAAAAACAGCACAAAAGUGGAUGAAAAUAUUUGAGUGAUAAAAAAACAAUAGUAUUAAUUUUGUUAUUUAAUCUAUUAACUUGAUUAUUGUUGUACAAAUGAACUUGGAAAUUCCAAAACAUUCAAAAA
Molecule: non-coding RNA, 1324 nt
Organism: Schizosaccharomyces pombe (fission yeast)
Lineage: Eukaryota; Fungi; Ascomycota; Schizosaccharomycetes; Schizosaccharomycetales; Schizosaccharomycetaceae
Source: the annotation of a GenBank genome assembly